AGCAGCCGCCGCGGUAAUACGAAGGGGGCUAGCGUUGUUCGGAAUUACUGGGCGUAAAGCGCACGUAGGCGGACAUUUAAGUCAGGGGUGAAAUCCCGGGGCUCAACCCCGGAACUGCCUUUGAUACUGGGUGUCUAGAGUAUGGAAGAGGUGAGUGGAAUUCCGAGUGUAGAGGUGAAAUUCGUAGAUAUUCGGAGGAACACCAGUGGCGAAGGCGGCUCACUGGUCCAUUACUGACGCUGAGGUGCGAAAGCGUGGGGAGCAAACAGGAUUAGAUACCCCCGUAGUCCCUGUCUCUUAUAC
Molecule: ribosomal RNA, 303 nt
Filed under: uncultured bacterium
Lineage: Bacteria
Description: partial 16S ribosomal RNA
Rfam family: Bacterial small subunit ribosomal RNA
Source: RNAcentral